This 1069-nucleotide long non-coding RNA is filed under the name Bos grunniens (domestic yak). RNAcentral's name for it is "lncRNA (ENSBGRG00000001071.1)". The record is from RNAcentral. Lineage: Eukaryota; Metazoa; Chordata; Mammalia; Artiodactyla; Bovidae.
AGGAGAAUGGCGGGCUCGGCGGUGCUCAAGGGGACUCCUGGGGGUUGGGCCCCGCGGAACCCGAAGACGCGCGCGGUUGGCUCUGCUCAGAGCACGGCGACCGCGUGGUUGAGCUCUUCUGUCGCCGCUGCCGCCGCUGCGUGUGCGCGCUUUGCCCGGUGCUGGGCUCGCAUCGCGGCCACCCGAUCGGUUUGGCGCUGGACGAGGCGGCGCGCGUGCAGAGUUAACAAGGCUGCUUUCAGAGAUAACAUCUUCUAAUAGGUAGGUCCACCUACCUCUUUUGUAUCCACACACCCAUUCAUUCCUUAGACAUCCAUUCAGCUUAUCCAUGAGUCAAGGAACAGACCAAUUCUUCCCUGACCUGGAGGCGUCCCUUGGCUAGUAGGGGAAGAACAAACAAGUGACAACACAGUAUGAUAAGUAUUGUAAUUGGGGAGCCUGAGGCAGUGGUCAGUGGGAGCCAAAAAGAAGAAGUAUGAACCAGGGACAGGAAGCCCAGGAAGAGUUCCUGGGUGGGGGAUGUCAUUGAAACUGGCCAUGACGAGUAAGUGGGGCUUCACCAAGCACCUAGACAGGAGAGGCACCCUGUGACUGGAGGGCUCAAGCACCGGGAUGCCACAUUAUCCUUGGCUGACAGACAGGAGCUUGACCAGAAGGUUCAAGGGAGGGGGGUGGCGGGGGAUGGAGGAUGUGCUCCUGGAAGAUGGAAGGUGAGCUUAUGGCUUAUCCUUGGGUUACUAUUGUGUUCCCACCCCCAGCGCUCACUCCCAAUCUCCCAUAUAAGCUACACCUACUGAGCAUUUUGUGUGCCAGGCACUACACCAAGCACUUUGUGUCCUCACUCUUUACAGCAACUCUGUGGGGUUGUCCCCGCCUUUUUUUUUUUUGCAGCUGAGGAAACUGAGGCUUAGAAAGGUGAGGCCACUUGCCUAGGUCAUGUGGAAGGAGAGCUAGGACUCAGACCUAGCAGGUCCUGUCCGAGUCUGGGACUUGGGCUCAUACAUAGCGUGCUCCAGCUCUCCACUUGAAGCUGGCAGCCCUGGUAAUUCUGUUCAAUCCAGCAAACACU